This is a non-coding RNA of Mycena rosella, 82 nucleotides long. The record is from the annotation of a GenBank genome assembly. Lineage: Eukaryota; Fungi; Basidiomycota; Agaricomycetes; Agaricales; Mycenaceae.
GGUUCGAUGGUGUAGUUGGUUAUCACUUCUGUCUAACAUUUAUGUUCACAGGCGGUCCUCGGUUCGAACCCGGGUCGAAUCA